CGGCGGACGGGUGAGUAACGCGUAGGAAUCUACCUGGGUAGUGGGGGACAACAUGGUGAAAACCAUGCUAAUACCGCAUACGCCCUAAGGGGGAAAGCGGGGGAUCUUCGGACCUCGCGCUAUUGGAUGAGCCUGCGUAAGAUUAGCUAGUUGGUGGGGUAAAAGCUCACCAAGGCGACGAUCUUUAGCUGGUCUGAGAGGAUGAUCAGCCACACUGGAACUGAGACACGGUCCAG
This 236-nucleotide ribosomal RNA is filed under the name uncultured bacterium. RNAcentral's name for it is "partial 16S ribosomal RNA". It matches the Rfam family "Bacterial small subunit ribosomal RNA", at positions 96 to 334 of the family's 1533-position model. The record is from RNAcentral.